GUCCUCUUGUUUAUUUAUGAGGUCUGACCUGCCCAGUGAUUUAUUUUUAACGGCCGCGGUAUUUUGACCGUGCAAAGGUAGCAUAAUCAUUAGUCUUUUAAUAGGAGGCUGGAAUGAAUGGUUUGACGAAUUAUUAGCUGUCUCAUUUAAUUUAAUUUUAAAAUUUAACUUUUUAGUCAAAAGGCUUAAAUUUUUUUGGAAGACGAGAAGACCCUAUAGAGCUUUAUAAUUUAAUUUAUUUUAAUUUUUUGUUUAUUUUUAUUUAUAAUAAAUAUAAUUAUUUUGUUGGGGUGACAAAAAUACAUAAUUAACUUUUUUAUUAUAUUAACAUUGAUUUAUGAUUAUUAGAUCCUUUAUUAUUGAUUGAUAGAAUAAGUUACCUUAGGGAUAACAGCGUAAUCCUACUUUAGAGUUCAUAUUCGCAGUAGGGCUUGCGACCUCGAUGUUGGAUUAAGAUAAUAGUUAGGUGCAGCUGCUUAAUAUAUAGGUCUGUUCGACCUUUAAAUUCUU
RNAcentral lists this ribosomal RNA (510 nucleotides) under Archaeogomphus infans. Its description in RNAcentral is "partial 16S ribosomal RNA". It matches the Rfam family "Bacterial large subunit ribosomal RNA", at positions 1829 to 2597 of the family's 2925-position model. The record is from RNAcentral. Lineage: Eukaryota; Metazoa; Arthropoda; Insecta; Odonata; Gomphidae.